This 492-nucleotide ribosomal RNA is filed under the name uncultured bacterium. Its description in RNAcentral is "partial 16S ribosomal RNA". It matches the Rfam family "Bacterial small subunit ribosomal RNA", at positions 29 to 507 of the family's 1533-position model. The record is from RNAcentral.
AGUGAACGCUGGCGGUAGGCCUAACACAUGCAAGUCGAACGGCAGCACAGUAAGAGCUUGCUCUUACGGGUGGCGAGUGGCGGACGGGUGAGGAAUACAUCGGAAUCUACUUUUUCGUGGGGGAUAACGUAGGGAAACUUACGCUAAUACCGCAUACGACCUACGGGUGAAAGCAGGGGAUCUUCGGACCUUGCGCGAUUGAAUGAGCCGGUGUCGGAUUAGCUAGUUGGCGGGGUAAAGGCCCACCAAGGCGACGAUCCGUGGCUGGUCUGAGAGGAUGAUCAGCCACACUGGAACUGAGACACGGUCCAGACUCCUACGGGAGGCAGCAGUGGGGAAUAUUGGACAAAGGGCGCAAGCCUGAUCCAGCCAUACCGCGUGGGUGAAGAAGGCCUUCGGGUUGUAAAGCCCUUUUGUUGGGAAAGAAAAGCAGCAGGUUAAUACCCCGCUGUUCUGACGGUACCCAAAGAAUAAGCACCGGCUAACUUCGUG